UUUAUAUAUUAAAAGUGCCUAUGUAACGGCAUUUCUUGGUUUAAGAGAAUAUACUUAAAAAUAAAAGAAUAUUCUGUUAAAUUUAACGAUGUUAAUAGGUUUGAUCACUCGUUAACAAAUAAAUAAACCCAAUAAAUAAACCAAAAAAUUAAACAAUCUUUUUUUUUUAAAUUAAAAAAAAAAAUCAUCUUAACCACAUAUCUCUCUAACAAACCGGAUAUUCCCAAUUUUUAAAAUUAUUUUAUUAUUUUUAGUUUUCUCUAAAGAUUACUUGUUAAUAUCGUGCUUACCGAAGAUUGGGUUUCGACUCAUUAUCAUGUUACCUCUUGUAUAAAUUACACAUGCAAUCAGAAGACAAUGUCGUUUUUCACAGAUUCCUCACUUUUACUACCGUCAUUGGAGUAGUCCUAAAUAAUGUUCGGUCGAAAUAGAUUCCUCACUUUUCCUACAGUCAUUGGAGCAGUCCUGGAAGAAGAAGGAAAGCCAAGUACAUCACCAAGUCACAGGGUGUCAAGCAUUUUCAAGUCAAUUUACCUCUUUUCAGGUCAGUAUAUUAUUCUCAAAUUCACUGAUGUUGUGCCAUGUCUUCGGUUAGAAUAUUUUUGAACUUUUUGAUUAUAUAUGCUUGGUUUAGUUUAAUAUAUGCGCAUAUGUGUUGGUUUUUAUAAAUUAAUUGCUGCUACAUGUAUAUGUAGUUUUUCUGGUAUGUUAUUUAACUUUUUAUCCUGGUAUUUGAAGUUUUAUUACUUAAUAAUUAAUUAGACAAAAUUUAUCUGUUAUAUGAAACUUUUUCAUGAAUCAAAGUAUAUAUAUUUCAAAUUAUUAGUACAUUCCAUAGAGUAACUUUUAUAUGCAUGCAUUUUUACACUUAUCACAAGAAGCUGCAUUAUGUAUAAAACAUAUUAAUCAACUGAUCCUUUUUGCCUCGUACUGUUUUUAUUUUCUUUUCAUUUAAUUGGCUAACUCAAGUCUCAAGCUUCAUGCCAUCUCAUUUAACACACACAUAUGUAUAACCAAGUAAAUAUUUGAAAAACAAAAAACACACAAAAGAGGAAUUAAAGCGAUAAAAACAAGAGAUAUAAAUAGAUACUAAUAGAAUAUUUAUAUGCAUAAAACAUAUAGGCAUUCAAAAGCUACUACCUGGUAAUUAAUUAAUUAAUUACUAAUUAAUAACAAUAACUUGUUGCUUAAUUAGAAAGUAAAAUAAAGCUUGAAAUUCUAAAGAUAUAAUUAAUAAGCUAUAUCUAUUUGUAUUUGGUAUUUUCUUCCUUUGUGCUCUCUCUUUAAUUAUAAUGUCCAAUCUAUGAUUACAUGACUUUUGAGUACAAUAAUUAAGUGUGUAAGUGUGUAGUUACUUGGAGAUAUCUCAAUUGAUUGGGUGUGUGAAUGUGUGGGAGAUGUAUAGCGGGAUGGGUUGAAAUCCCCAUUAUAAUAUUUGAAUAACAAUGUGUAUAUUAUAGGUUUAUAUACACAAUUAUGACAUUCUUAACAAUUAGUUAUAUAAAACAUAUCGUUUAUAAAAUAAUUUACAAUUAGUUACUGAAUUCUUAAACAAAAACCACUAGAACUUAUAUAAAACUAAUAUUUACGUGGCUCGCCACGUAACUCUCAUCUAGUAUAUAUAUAUAUA
This is a long non-coding RNA of Cannabis sativa, 1630 nucleotides long. RefSeq lists it as uncharacterized. NCBI's taxonomy places the organism in Eukaryota, Viridiplantae, Streptophyta, Magnoliopsida, Rosales, Cannabaceae. The record is from RefSeq and is a predicted model, not a curated record. The transcript has 3 exons.